GUAAAACUAGAACACAGAAGCAGAUCUCUGUGCACACUGGGAUCUGAUCCUUGAUCGCAGAACUACAAGGCCUUGGGGCACAGAUACAAUGAUACGGUGAUUAAGUUGUGGGGAGAGCAGACCCUUGCUGCGGAAAAAAAUUGCAUCGUCUACAAAUGCCAUAUAUGAAAUGGAUUCUAGAUGUCACCCCAGGACCUGAUGAGUCAGAAGCUGUGGGAAGGGGAAGCACAGCCCUGCUGAAAACGAACACCAGAUGAAACAGGCCCAGAGAGGUGAAGUCAUUUGCUCAAGGGCACACAGUGAUGGAACAGGAGCAGCCAAGAUUUCCAUCUAAGAAUACCUGAAUCUGAAGCUCAGGUUCCUAAACACCACCCUUUCUGAGAUUUAAUUCAUUAUCAUGAUCAAAUCUUAAUGCUGGAAGGGUUAGGAAAAGUAUCUAAAUCCUUCACCCUUUAUGCCCCUAUACCUAGCACAAAGCCUUAUGCAAGAUGGGCUUCAAAUAAAACCUUAUUGAAUGAAUAAAUGAAUGAACACUACUCACUGAUCUGAAUAUUACUCACUGAUUCGGCUCAUCACACUUGCAUACUUUUUCCUCCACUUACAAAAAUUAUAUAUAAUUUGCAUAUAGUGGAAAUCAUCCUUUUUACAGAUAAGAAUUUAUAGUUAGUGGGUUCUGCAAGUUUUGCCAUAGUCAAUUGUGUAACCAUUACCACAAACAACAUAUAAAAUGAUUGCAUUAUCCUCCCACAUUUUCUCAUUCUCCUUAAUAGUAAAUCCUAAUAGUAAAUCCCCUGCCCCCAAGUCCCACUCCAGACCCUGGCAACUGCCAAACUGUUUUCUGUCCCUCUAGGUUGCUUUUGCAAGACUGUCACAUAAAGGGAACCAUGCAGUCUGUAGCCUUUUGAGUCUGGCUUCAUUCAUUUAAUAUAAUACAUUUACGGUUCACCCAUGUUGCUGGGUAUAUCCAUCAUGCAUUCCUUUUUAUCCCAUUGUAUAGAUGUCCCACAGUUUGUUUAUAUAUUUCCCUAUUGAAGGAUAUUCAGGUUGUUUCCAGGUUUUGGCUAUGAAAAUUAAAACCUUUAAAACAUUCUUGUACAGGGCUUUGUGUGAACAUAACUUCACUUCUCUAGGCUAAAUGCCAAAGAGAGGAUCGCAGCGUCAUAUAUGGUAAAUGUAUAUAGUUAUGAGCAACUGCUAAAUUGUUUUUUUCUGUGUUUUCUGUAUUUUUACCAGCCAUGUAUGAGUUCCAGUUACUCUAAAUCCUUGUUAGCACUUGAUAGCAUCAAAUUUAAAAUAUUUUCAGCCAUUUUAAUAGAUGUGUGGAUGGAUCUCAUUCUGGUUUUAAUUUGCAUUUCUCUCAUGACUAAUGAUGUUGAGCAUCUUUUCGUGUGCUUAGUUACCAUCU
Manis javanica (Malayan pangolin) is the source of this 1405-nucleotide long non-coding RNA. RefSeq lists it as uncharacterized. Lineage: Eukaryota; Metazoa; Chordata; Mammalia; Pholidota; Manidae. The record is from RefSeq and is a predicted model, not a curated record.